Molecule: ribosomal RNA, 465 nt
Filed under: Vreelandella stevensii
Lineage: Bacteria; Pseudomonadati; Pseudomonadota; Gammaproteobacteria; Oceanospirillales; Halomonadaceae
Description: partial 16S ribosomal RNA
Rfam family: Bacterial small subunit ribosomal RNA
Source: RNAcentral
CCUACGGGUGGCUGCAGUGGGGAAUAUUGGACAAUGGGGGGAACCCUGAUCCAGCCAUGCCGCGUGUGUGAAGAAGGCCCUCGGGUUGUAAAGCACUUUCAGUGAGGAAGAACGCCUGGUGGUUAAUACCCAUCAGGAAAGACAUCACUCACAGAAGAAGCACCGGCUAACUCCGUGCCAGCAGCCGCGGUAAUACGGAGGGUGCGAGCGUUAAUCGGAAUUACUGGGCGUAAAGCGCGCGUAGGUGGCUUGAUAAGCCGGUUGUGAAAGCCCCGGGCUCAACCUGGGAACGGCAUCCGGAACUGGCAAGCUAGAGUGCAGGAGAGGAAGGUAGAAUUCCCGGUGUAGCGGUGAAAUGCGUAGAGAUCGGGAGGAAUACCAGUGGCGAAGGCGGCCUUCUGGACUGACACUGACACUGAAGUGCGAAAGCGUGGGUAGCAAACAGGAUUAGAUACCCGGGUAGUC